CUUAAAGCCCAUUUGCCAUUUUCCCAAUUUCCCAAAGCUUGGUCAGCCUUACCAUUUUUUUCCCAAUUUCCCCGAAAGUCAAGACUCCAUCGUCCAUUCUUCUUCUUCAAUUCAAACCUGAAACUCCCAAUUCCCAAAUGCAAAAUUUAUCAUUUUUCUUUAAAAAAACCCUAAAUUAAACCCUCAAUUCUUCUUUCUCUUCUUCGUCAGUUCAUUCAAACAUCCCAAAUCAAAAUCCUUAUAAUGACAAAUCUAGGAAGAAAAAGUUACUAAAAAGACCAUCAAAGAAGUUUGUGGCAAAAACAUUACUUCUUCUUGGGGGUGUGACCUACCUAUAUCGUGCGCACUCCGCCUUGGGUACCAAAGUUAUAGUGGGCAGUGGCAUACAUCUUAACAAAACUGAGAAAACAUGGUGAUUCGUCGAGACAGAGCAACGAUAAUUGAGAUGAGUGAUCCAAAGUGAGAUGGUUCAACUCAAAGUUCACAAAAUUCUUCGCCAAGUAGAGAUGAUCAAACAACAACCAAGGGAAAUGUUCGAAGAAAGAUUAUUCCAAGGGCAGCUUGUUGGGGCCAUUUCACCAAAUAUGUAACUGAAAAGGGGGAGAAGAGAGCAAGGAAUAAUGCUUGUGAUGCUACUUACACCAUGGAAUCAACUUCUGUUUCUACAACGAAUUUGAACAAUCAUUUGAAAACAUGUGUAAAAAGACCUUAAGAGGAUAUCUUACAUGGUUUUAACGGCACAUUGGGUGGAUGAUGAGUGGAGGUUGCGAAAAAGGAUUAUAAAUUUUUGUCCAAUAUCUACUCAUAGAGGUGAAACCAUAGGUCAAGCUCUUGAAAAAUGUCUUCAAGAUUGGGGGAUUUAGAGGGUCUUCACUAUUACGGUUGAUAAUGCAUCCACUAAUAGUGUUGCCAUUGAAUAUUUGAGAAAGAAAUUGAAUCAUUGAAAUGCUUCUGUUGCAAA
Molecule: long non-coding RNA, 961 nt
Organism: Gossypium raimondii (Peruvian cotton)
Lineage: Eukaryota; Viridiplantae; Streptophyta; Magnoliopsida; Malvales; Malvaceae
Exons: 3
Source: RefSeq, a predicted model, not a curated record